Molecule: ribosomal RNA, 497 nt
Filed under: uncultured bacterium
Lineage: Bacteria
Description: partial 16S ribosomal RNA
Rfam family: Bacterial small subunit ribosomal RNA
Source: RNAcentral
GAUGAACGCUGGCGGCGUGCCUAAUACAUGCAAGUCGAGCGAACAGAUGAGGAGCUUGCUCCUCUGACGUUAGCGGCGGACGGGUGAGUAACACGUGGAUAACCUACCUAUAAGACUGGGAUAACUUCGGGAAACCGGAGCUAAUACCGGAUAAUAUAUUGAACCGCAUGGUUCAAUAGUGAAAGACGGGUUUGCUGUCACUUAUAGAUGGAUCCGCGCCGCAUUAGCUAGUUGGUAAGGUAACGGCUUACCAAGGCAACGAUGCGUAGCCGACCUGAGAGGGUGAUCGGCCACACUGGAACUGAGACACGGUCCAGACUCCUACGGGAGGCAGCAGUAGGGAAUCUUCCGCAAUGGGCGAAAGCUUGACGGAGCAACGCCGCGUGAGUGAUGAAGGUCUUCGGAUCGUAAAACUCUGUUAUUAGGGAAGAACAAAUGUGUAAGUAACUAUGCACGUCUUGACGGUACCUAAUCAGAAAGCCACGGCUAACUACGUG